Molecule: ribosomal RNA, 440 nt
Filed under: uncultured bacterium
Lineage: Bacteria
Description: partial 16S ribosomal RNA
Rfam family: Bacterial small subunit ribosomal RNA
Source: RNAcentral
CCUACGGGAGGCAGCAGUGGGGAAUAUUGCACAAUGGGGGAAACCCUGAUGUAGCGACGCCGCGUGAGUGAAGAAGUAUUUCGGUAUGGAAAGCUCUAUCAGCAGGGAAGAAAAUGACGGUACCUGAGUCAGAAGCACCGGCUAACUACGUGCCAGCAGCCGCGGUAAUGCGUCGGGGGCAAGCGUUAUCCGGAUUUAAUGGGUGUAAAGGGAGCGUAGACGGCAGCACAAGUCUGGAGUGAAAUGCCGGGGCUUAACCCCGGAACUGCUUUGGAUACUGUUCAGCUAGAGUGCAGGAGAGGUAAGUGGAAUUCCUAGUGUAGCGGUGAAAUGCGUAGAUAUUAGGAGGAACACCAGUGGCGAAGGCGGCUUACUGGACUGUAACUGACGUUGAGGCUCGAAAGCGUGGGGAGCAAACAGGAUUAGAUACCCUUGUAGUC